Molecule: non-coding RNA, 26 nt
Filed under: Rattus norvegicus (Norway rat)
Lineage: Eukaryota; Metazoa; Chordata; Mammalia; Rodentia; Muridae
Source: RNAcentral
UGGUCCUUCAGAGAGAGAACCUGGUC